Molecule: non-coding RNA, 87 nt
Organism: Danio rerio (zebrafish)
Lineage: Eukaryota; Metazoa; Chordata; Actinopteri; Cypriniformes; Danionidae
Source: Rfam
CCUUCGAUAGCUCAGUUGGUAGAGCGGAGGACUGUAGGUGGGAUGAUGGCAAUGCUUAGGUUGCUGGUUCGACUCCGGCUCGAAGGA